RNAcentral lists this long non-coding RNA (585 nucleotides) under Androctonus crassicauda. The record is from RNAcentral. Lineage: Eukaryota; Metazoa; Arthropoda; Arachnida; Scorpiones; Buthidae.
CGUCAUUGGAUCUUUUGAUACUAUUCCCAAUUCGAACAAAAUUAUUUUGCUAUAUAAUUCAUUUUGAAUCAGUCGGAUGACGCCACCUGCCGUGGUAAUGAUGUCAUUCCAUUAUGUCAUGGCCACGUCUCACAACGAUUACGUUUCGUGAUGUCAUACAUCGUUACCUUACUAAUGGCGUCGUCCCUAAUUCAAGUUCGAUUUGGGAUUUUCGUUGCACCCAAAAUGCUCCACUCCUGGCCAUCUCGAUCGCAGCCAGCCUAUGUUAUGGUGCCGCGGGAAAUAUCUACCUGUGGUAGGCGAGACACUACAAGUGGUAAAUGCAUAAUCUCGACUUCCUGUUUGUAUACGAUGCAUAUUUUUGUUGGCGGUGCUGAAAUUUUUGAAUUUUGGAUUUGGUGGUACGCAUUUACGAAAAUGUUGAGAACAAGUUGAUUUAGACCAAGUUUGGUCCCGAAGAAUUAAACGGUGUGAGAGUUUUGGCGGAACAGACAUAAGAUGAAACAAACAUUGCAUUAUGUAUAUGUAGAAAGUAUUAAGAAUAUCUUCUAGCAAAUAAACAUACUUUUCUAGAAAUCGACAGAG